GCUUGCCGAGAAAAAUUCGAACCAGAGAAAUAUAAUUGAAUUUUCUAAAUUGUCAAGAGUGUCUCUCUUGUGUUUCCGUGUAAUACGCGUGUGGGUGUAGGUGUGGGUGUGGGUGUGGGUGUUGCUACGACCGAAAAACAGGUGGACACGUCUGCGUUCGCAUGUGUGCGUGCGCGCGCGCGCGUGCUCAUAUGCGUGUAUAUGCGUGGCGUGCGUCGUCUGGUCUCUAUUAAGAAGAACGAGCAGCAGCUGAGUCCGAUUAAUCGAGGAGGGAAGAACCUGGCCAUAGUCGUAGAACUCGUCGUUUUUAAUCCUAAAGGGAAAAUUGAAGCGAAAGAAAUAAGAAAUAAAAGGAAAACAUUAGAAAAAAAUGUAAAAGAAAUAUGUCGGUUGACGUGUUGCUAGAUCAGAAAAUUGAAAACCAUCAUUCUAGUUUCUCGUCGCACUCUCAUCGUAAAAUGAAUGAAUUAUCUUUCUCUUUUCGGUGAAUUUUCUAUGCGUUUCUACCUAUCCGUCUGAGAAUUGAUCAAAAUCGAUUAACGUAUAUUUCUUGGAAGAAUCUCGAAGAAGAAACACGCAAAGUGUGUCUAUUCCGGAAGUAAUUGGGCUGUAAAGAAAAAAAAAAAAAAAAACUACUAUCGCGAUAGAUAGUACGAAUGUAUAGAACAACGAGACUAAAAGAUGUCGAAGACGUCGCUUUGGACAUGGGAUAGAUGAUAGGACCGAUGUUUAUACCAUGCCGUAGAACAGAUGAGUUAAGCAGAAUGGAUUGGACGUAUGGACUCGGGAGGACCCUCCUGAGGACUCUGUCACGGUGAACGAAUUCCUAAAACGCAAGACUGCAACUACGUCAUCGUACGAUCUUAUUUUCCCAACGUGUACGAAAAUAUAUUGAAAUAAUACGCGUGCAAUAGUUACUCCAUCUACUAAAUUCAAAAA
Molecule: long non-coding RNA, 939 nt
Filed under: Polistes fuscatus (common paper wasp)
Lineage: Eukaryota; Metazoa; Arthropoda; Insecta; Hymenoptera; Vespidae
Description: uncharacterized LOC122525371, transcript variant X1
Source: RNAcentral